CUUCAAGUCGUCUUCAUCUCAAACUCUCCACUGUAUCGCUUACUCAGUGCUCUGCUGCCUGUGACAUUCAAGACGCCAAACCCUGCUGCUGAUUUGCGACCACUGCGCCUCGCCCUGUCUGGCCUCGCGGCGCAUCACAAAGACUUACACGGACCGUGACAACAUCAGGACCAUUAGUUCCACCGCCCGUUCCAAUACCCCGGCUUUUUUGGCUCGCACGUUCGGCGCAUUCUAAACAAUUAUCAAACCCUUGGCUCUCCAGAGCGGACAGCAUGCAUCAAAUUAAGCUGUUUUUUGGCUUCGGUUGAACCUCGAGUAAAGUAUAAGCCACCCUGAGGGCGAGAGAGAGCAAGCGAGAGAGAGAGAGAGAUCCUCUGACCAAUAAAGGUGGAGGGUUUCUGACUGGGGAUCUGGUGGGGGCUCUGAUGGUAAGAGGCGGGGGGGGUGCAAAAACAAAAAAAAUCUGCAGCAAAUGGCUUGUUGUAUUUGUGAAAUUCACCCAAAGUAUCUCACAACAAUGACGAUUAGUCGAGAACAAGUAAACAUCCAGUCCGCUAAUGAAUCUCUCUUCAAUAAACAAGUGGAGAACACGUGCAUGCACGCACACAACGCGCACACGCACGAGCGCAGCGUGAUAAUGAUGUUCUUUGUGGAGUUUUUGGGGUAAUUAGGGCUGCUUAAAUGGUGGUUAAAAAGGAUUUGCAGCUGAUUGUUUGUCCUUGUGUCUUUGAGCCGUGGGCGCUCUUGCUCCUCUGAGUGUCAACAAAGUCUUCUUCAACUGUCUCGUCACAGAGCACAAAAAAUCCCUUCUUUCACCACGCCGUCCGCCGCAGACCCUUCCUCUGCUUCUCCCAGUCCCUCCCUUUCUUCUUGUGUGUGCUCAAAUUCUUCUUGCUUGUCUGUUUCCCUAUAAUUUGCUCUCUCGCUCUCCCUCGCUCCCUUACUUUUUCUCCUCCCUCUCUACGUCUUCCUCUCCAUCUUCUUCAACUGAACAGCUGCUGGGUCCGAUCACGCUCCAAGAACACGCUCUUGAUGUGAGAACUGAGGCAUGUCCACUGAGGAAGAACCAGGCAGACAACUUUCACUGUAGAUCAACAAAGCUGCCAAAGCCAGUUCUCAGGUGUGGCUACCCUGUGAUUUCCACUCCUCUGUAAGCCGGUGCAUCGAUCCACUUAUCACUUACCUGCAGUAUAUGAGGACCAGCUCUCCCGCCCACUCUCCUACAGACCGCUGCUGUUGCAGCGGUCUUUAUAGCCGGUGAUAUUGUUCAGGCUCUCUAGUGAAACUUGCCUUCUCUCUAAAUAUGUUUUCCAAGUUACUAACCCCGAUUCUUGUUCUGCUCCAGAUUCCCUACGCGUGCCAGCCAGCAGCUCAGACUCUUGAUGUCCGAUCUGGUUUUCCUGCCUGCCCACUCUCCAGCAAAACAACCUCGCUCACGGAUCUCCUGUCUGCGCUCACCUCUGGGGCCUCCACCGCACACUCUGAGCUUGUGAAUGCAACUUUUGAAAGGAUUCUCCCGCCAGACGGAAGAUUUUAAGUGCCUAAGCCUUGUGAGUCCAAAUGAGCUUCAUCAGCAAAUCAAAAUUAAUCCAACUUGACUUCAUCACUCCUGAAAAGCGUACCGUUAAACACUGCCACAUCGAGCCACCAGUGUGAGAGGAGCGCAUGACAGAAGGCCGGUAUUCCUUUAGGAAUUGGAGGAGGCCAAAACAGAGCUAAAAGGGCAGGUUUUAACUUAAACGUGUAAAUCUGUAAAAUUUUAAAAAAAUGUGUCAACACCGGGGCACAGUGAAUGUUUUCUUGGUCCAGAAGUGGAAAAUCACAUACAUUUUACCUACACGUAGGGAAAUAAAAGAGGGGAACUGGAUAUUGAAAGGUUAAAAAGAAAACGAGGAGAGAAAUGACAAAAGAUAAGCCGACUAUGAAGAACAGCGUGAACAAGGAAAGAGGAGCACAAGGUUGAUGUAAAGUCAGUGAGUGGUGGAAAGCCCUCAGGAAUGUCGGUGGUGAGAAACGACAACGGUUGUAAUGGGUUCCGUAUGGCAAGAGAGGGAGGGAGGGCGAAACGGGAGGGGACGAGAGAAGAAGAGGUGGUGAAGGGAAAGGUAAAGCAGCACCGAGGAGGCUUACAGGGGAGAGAAAAGAGAGGCAGAGGGAGGCGGGAGGUAGCAGUAGGCAGGUAGAGAUGCAGAGCCUUGUUUGAAUAGUUAGCUGGCAUCGUGGGACUUUGAAGGUAACUCCGUCCUUGUCAUCUCUUACACACGCGCGCGCGCACUCGUACACACUCAUUCUGCUGUCCGGAGGCGGUCCAGAAUGCUGCAGCGUCGGUGUCACAUCCAGUACAUAUCACAACCCGGAUAACCACAGAGACACAGGAUGGAGGCACGCUGGAUGCCUUGGCAUUUGCAAAGAGCACGUACACACACACAGAGGCGCUCGCUAUGUUUGUCUCCCUCAUAAACACACACACACACACACCCCCUUCAUCUCCCAUGCUGCUGUGCUCCUGCUGCGCUCAAUACCAUCCCAUACGAUACAAUGCAGCAGACGAGCGUAUCGCAUUAAGUUGAAACUUGUAGCUGCAUCAUAAAGAGAAGCGAGAACUAACUAAGCAGCUAUGGAAAAAGAUUCUUUUCCCUCUUUGAACAGAGCUGAACAACGCAGCCAUAUCCAGGUCAACAGAAACUUUUCUCAAGCAAACAUCUCCUUCCCUUCUCCUUCGUCAUCUCUCCCUCUCAUUUGCAUCCUUGUUCCUGUAUUUUUUAUGUUUCUGCUCCCGCAUCUUUGGCUCAGAACUUUUGUUCGUGGCGUCUUUUGACUCCUCCAAACAUUCGCUAAAAGUGAGCUCUAGACGCCGUACUGCACUCCAUCUCUCAUGCCUCAAAGAGCCUCCCCUCCUUGCUCUGCCUCUCCACCUCUCUAUACCUUUCUUCAUUAAAAUCUUGUUUUCUCUCUCCCUCUCUUCACCCAGGUAUAUAUCACCUAAUACGUUUGCAGCUUUACAACGAUUGCUGUUUCCUCUAAAGUGUCUCCCUAGAACAAAAAUGGAACAAUGAAAAACAUCCACACAUAAUUAUCAACCAAGAAAAAUGUCACUUUUAGUGGUGGAUGUAAAUAUUACACAUGGCCAAAGCUUUAUAUUAGAUUUCUACGCAUGUACAAGACGGGAAGGAGACGGGGAAAGAUUAGCCAAAAGCUAAAGCUGCUGCUCUUCUAGGGCCAGAUUUAUCAACUCGUUACGCCAACACAAACUGGGUUUUGGCGUAAGAAAAGUACUGUUGGCGUUUUCAAAAGAGAACACAGUGGCAAGAUUACGUGUAAGAGGCGGUCACUUACUGCGGCUGCGUAUGUAUCUCUAGAAGUUCCUUUCUCAAGGUGCAAAAAUACCGGGAGAAGAAUAAUUAAAUCAAACGCGCAAACUGAUUCAAUAACUUUUGCAUCACUCGGUUUACUGCUAACUGUGAUGAUAUUUAAUGCCAAAAAACAAAAUUGACCUA
Oreochromis niloticus (Nile tilapia) is the source of this 3497-nucleotide long non-coding RNA. RefSeq lists it as uncharacterized. Lineage: Eukaryota; Metazoa; Chordata; Actinopteri; Cichliformes; Cichlidae. The transcript is spliced from 3 exons. The record is from RefSeq and is a predicted model, not a curated record.